GGGGUCAACAUUGAACAACAUUUAGAAGAAUAUAUGCUAUACUUUUUUUUUUUUACCAUACCAUAAAGCUAAAUAAACAAACAACAAAAUGGCAGCAAGAAAACGGCAGUAAAGGUCUGAUCAUGAAGACAUGGAUGUGUUUGCACAUGCUCAGCAAUUCACCAUUGAUUGUGACAGAUAAGGACGCUUCAAUGGAAGAGGCUGUGGGAAGGGCGCGAAAACAUCACAUCCAUUUGAUUUUCCUUGCAAAAUGGUCCUGACAUAUACCUCACAUUGAAAUAAGUCUACAGGCUUUCAUAGACAUCUUUGGGAGUAAUCUACAAGCCUGGAUCUCUGGUGAUGGUGACAGGCUGCAGGUUUCCAACAUUCUUCAAAACAGUUUUUGUGUUCAACAGAAGAAAGAAACUCCAACAUGUUUGAGACAAGUGAAAGAUGAGGCCCGGGGUUUUUAACUUCACGCCCAGGCCCCAAAGGCCCGAAGCUGGGGGCGUUUGCAGAAAUCCAAGCAGCGCCAGCAUGCUUUUGUUUCAGCCUGCUGGUCUUUAGCCGC
Molecule: long non-coding RNA, 550 nt
Filed under: Danio rerio (zebrafish)
Lineage: Eukaryota; Metazoa; Chordata; Actinopteri; Cypriniformes; Danionidae
Description: lncRNA si:dkey-285j18.2 (ENSDARG00000098744.2)
Source: RNAcentral